RNAcentral lists this unclassified non-coding RNA (46 nucleotides) under Candidatus Scalindua brodae. RNAcentral describes it as "RNA (5'-R(P*GP*GP*GP*GP*CP*AP*GP*AP*AP*AP*AP*UP*UP*GP*GP*GP*UP*AP*CP*CP*G)-3') from Candidatus Scalindua brodae (PDB 7XT4, chain a)". Lineage: Bacteria; Pseudomonadati; Planctomycetota; Candidatus Brocadiia; Candidatus Brocadiales; Candidatus Scalinduaceae. The record is from RNAcentral.
CUCUAGUAACAGCCGUGGAGUCCGGGGCAGAAAAUUGGGUACCGUG